UCCCUGGAGGACUAGUGGUUAGGCCACAGAGCUCUCACCUCUACAGCCCAGGUUCGAUUCCUGGCCAUGGAA
This 72-nucleotide transfer RNA is filed under the name Pangasianodon gigas (Mekong giant catfish). RNAcentral's name for it is "tRNA-Glu". It matches the Rfam family "tRNA". From Rfam's summary of the family: Transfer RNA (tRNA) molecules are approximately 80 nucleotides in length. The record is from RNAcentral. Lineage: Eukaryota; Metazoa; Chordata; Actinopteri; Siluriformes; Pangasiidae.